UAACGCGAAGAACCUUACCAGGUCUUGACAUCCUUUGACCACUCUAGAGAUAGAGCUUUCCCUUCGGGGACAAAGUGACAGGUGGUGCAUGGUUGUCGUCAGCUCGUGUCGUGAGAUGUUGGGUUAAGUCCCGCAACGAGCGCAACCCUUAUUGUUAGUUGCCAUCAUUUAGUUGGGCACUCUAGCGAGACUGCCGGUGACAAACCGGAGGAAGGUGGGGAUGACGUCAAAUCAUCAUGCCCCUUAUGACCUGGGCUACACACGUGCUACAAUGGGAAGUACAACGAGUCGCUAGACCGCGAGGUCAUGCAAAUCUCUUAAAGCUUCUCUCAGUUCGGAUUGCAGGCUGCAACUCGCCUGCAUGAAGCCGGAAUCGCUAGUAAUCGCGGAUCAGCACGCCGCGGUGAAUACGUUCCCGGGUCUUGUACACACCGA
RNAcentral lists this ribosomal RNA (435 nucleotides) under Enterococcus faecalis. RNAcentral describes it as "bacterial SSU rRNA". It matches the Rfam family "Bacterial small subunit ribosomal RNA", at positions 957 to 1393 of the family's 1533-position model. The record is from RNAcentral. Lineage: Bacteria; Bacillati; Bacillota; Bacilli; Lactobacillales; Enterococcaceae. RNAcentral also lists the same sequence under 1 other name.